GAACCCAGAAUCUCUGGUUCAGGGUUCAAGAAUUCGAGCUUAGAAUAGCUGUUAUGAUUGGCUUUAUCUAUUAUCUAAUUUUCCUACAUGUUUGAGCCUAAUGUGCUAAAUGCUUUAUCGCUUUGAUAUUUUGUGAACUGUAUAUAAACUGCUACGAAACCCUUCCUCUCUCUGAGUCUUCUAAAUCAUGGAGAAGGGUGCACUUCGUGUGACUUCUCUUCUGUUUAGAGUCUUAUCCCAUUUUAGAACGAGGUUCGGAUAAGUUGCUAAGCCGGUGAAGCUUCUGUAUUCCCGGUACGCUGCCCUCCCUCGGCUCGAGUUGUCCGCUCGGAUAAGCCAGGUCUAGAACAAUAAACCCAGGCUUUAAACCUAGUAUAACAAAGCCUCAUGUCGGAUCCUUAGUAGGAACGUUUGUUUGCAUCACGUGCAUUUGACUUAGGAGACUCAACAUAGGGGUUGGGUCUGUCUAGGACAGGUGUACACGAAAUGAAAAGACCAUCCUGAUACAUUCUACUUGCGCAUUUAUUUGCUUCGAAUUUGCGUGUUGACCGGCUUAUGAAUAAUAGGAGAAAAGUUGGGAAAAAGAAAAUCAAUGUGAGGGCUCGGAGAGAUAAUUACUUGUUUUGAAAAAUCAGUAUCCAAAAAAUAUGCUGAAACUCUGCCAAAAUUUUGACAAAAAUUUUCUGUUUGAAAAAUAGUUGGUUUAUUUUCGUCUAAUCUGCCCGAACUACGCCAGUUUGAUUCUCACCGGAUGUGGGAUACGUAGGCAACCCACAUCGGGUCCAACUUCCCUUUUUUGCAAAAAAUAGCCCAAAAACAAUAAAAAUUUAUUUUUUGUCACAAAUAAACAGGGCAAUGCCAUUCUUGCUUAAAAUAAGCCGAAUGUCCCCAAAAGGGCGCCGGAAGGCAGUUUUUUUUGCAAGAAUAGCCCCUUUUGUCAUUUUUAAACGGUUAGCGGGCACGACUUCAAAAUCUUCUUCCCCGAAGUGCUGAAAGGUUGUAUCUGCAAAACCUGGUUUUAUUGUGAAAUAAAAUUUUGAAAAAUGGUGUCACUCUUUUGGGUCAAAAUUAGUUAUUAAAUCACCUUAACAAAUGUGCAGGAUGAGCAUAGACGAAAUUGAACCCUUCACAGUCCUUAAUGAGAUCCCCUUAAAGCUCCACAUGUGGUGGAAUGAUCUAGGAAAAGGCAAUAAAGAAACAGUGGUAAAAGUUCUGGGAGGCCUCGUCGGACUAUUAAACGUCAAGCCAAGGUUGGACAUAAUUGAAGCCUUAAUACCUUUUUGGGACCCGACUCGCAAUGUGUUCCGCUUCUCUGACUUUGAGCUUACACCUACAUUGGAGGAAAUUGCAGGUUAUGCGGGCCUUAACGGAAACCUUAGAAGUCGAUAUCCGUUGGCACGAAGACCGGUAUCCCCCACAGAUUUCUAGAUUUGUUGAGUAUUAGUCGGGAUAUUCAAGACGGAAAUUUAUCUGAGGGGUAUUGCACGCUCCAGUUCUUAUAUUAUAGAUAUGGUAACCCCCGAAGUUUUGAAGAGCGGAACACUGGUCUGACCCAUGAUGGAAAUAAAGACAAGUGGGAGGCGUGGCGGGGUCUGGCUUUUAUUGUAGCAUUCUUGGGUAUUGUAGUCUGUCCGCGAAAAGAUCGUAAUAUAGAGGUGGGUCUCGUAGGAAUGGUCGAUGUUGCAAUCAAGAAAUCCAACAGCACUGUGGUUCCCCUAAUCUUAUCCGAAAUAUACCGAGCCUUGACUAUCUGUCGAGAAGGGGAAAAGUUCUUCCAAGGAUGCAAUCUGCUACUACAAUUAUGGAUGUAGGAACAUCUCUGCCACUGGGUUGGAUAUAUGAAUUAUGGUAUGACCGGUUUAAGUUGCGUUGAAGAAUUUGAAAGCCGAGUAGUGGGUAUUGAAUUCCCCGAAGGUACUAAAGCUUGGCUUACACAUUUAAGCUCAUUGACUGAUGAUAAAAUUGAGUGGGCAUUCGGAUGGCUUCCUAUCACUGAAGCAGUGUACAUGUCAGCUGAAGUGUGUUAUCUCCUCCUGAUGGGCAUCCGGAGCAUCCAGCCGUAUGCUCCUCACAGGGUUUUGCGCCAAUUAGGAAGAUUUCAAACCGUCCCUCAUGACGAAGAUUUGAGUAGACAUGUCGUUGAAUUGUACCCGAAAGCCACAUUUCCAGAAGGGAGAAUUCUCCAGGUGUGGAAUGAAUGUAGGUUUCUUGAACCUAAGACCAUGGUGCGAGAUUUAGCUAGAGGUGAAGUAGACCCUAAGUACAUUGUUUGGUUCGAUAAAAGAUUUCAGAUUCUUGAGAGACCUGCUAAGAGGGCUCACGUUCAGCAGUUUACUAGCGACUCGCAAGAGCAGUGGGGCUGGUUGGCAAAAGAAGAAAGCUACAGGGCCAAAAUAAGCAAGCUAGAAAGGCAAGUCAUGAACCUUCAGUUUGAAAAUAGUUUGCAAGCUGCCGCAGACGAGGGAGAAAAGAAAAAACUAACUCAAGAGAAUAAAGCCCUCAAAGCUCAAAUCUGGAAGAUGAAAAUAGCUGCUAGAAACCCGGAGAGAAGCCGAGCGGACGAGAGACUUAUAAGCAGUCUGAAAAAGAAAGCCCUUGAGUGUCAAGAUGACCUAGAAAAGGCUGAGGCCAGUCUAGCAAAUGCCCGGGCUCAAUUAGCGGAGAAUGCAAAAGGUCGAACCUAGUUUGUGCAACAAAUAAAAAGAUGAUAUGAAGGAACAAUCACCAGCCUAAAAAGAAAGAUGACUACUCUUGAGAAUGAGGCAACCAAGUAGACUAAAGAUUUCAAAGUUGAUAGGGAACACUGUUAUGAUUUGAUGGCUCAGAUGGAGGAAGGAAAACAACAGUUGCAAGAUCAACACCUUCAUAACUCUCAAGUGUUAGAAGCCCGGAAUCAGCAGAUAGGGCGAUUGCUCCAAGAAAAGGGCAGAAUUAGAGAAAGGAUCAGAACCAUCGCCGAUUACAUUACCAUGAAGUGCCAAGCGUGUGAGGAUAUGACUCGUACCACUUUUUUCGCUGCAGUAAUGACUUUCGCCCGCCUAGUCAUGAGUGAUUUGGACCAAUUGCAAGGGGAUCUCGCAUUUAGGCCCGCGGCGAGACCGAAUGACGUCCCGCGGGCACCAGGAGCAUUAAUGUAUUUUUGAUUUUACUAGAGUCUGUAUUUUUCUUUUCUGUUAAAGUCUGUUAGUUUAUUUUCGAUUCUGUAUUUUUCUUUUUGUCAGAGUCUGUUAAGUCAGUUCAUGAGUCUGUAUUGUCAUCGUGUUAUUGGAGUCUGUUGUUUUCCUUUUUGAGCCUUUUAGCUUUGAAUCAUUGUAAUCCAAAGUAUUUCCUUUUUAUGAAAAAUUGAAAAUCCCAAAAUAUUUUGUUAUUUAUUUUUACAUUUAUUGCCUCUUGAACUACGUAAAUGAUCUGAUUCACGCAGCGUCGUGAUACGUAGGCAAUCCUCAUCGGAUCCGGUCAUGAUUUUGUUAAUAAAUCCAAUAAGAGAGGGCGUGAAAAGAAGAGCCGAAAGAAAAACCCAAAAGAAAGAAAAGAGAGCUGAAGAAAAAUCCAAGGAAAAAAAGAGAAAAGAAAGCGAGGAAGGAGAUAAAAGUGGAAGGGAAUGGAAAUAGAAAGAAGAAAAAUGGAAAGAAUAAGUAAAUCCGGGAUGAAGCAUGCAACCACUGCAAAAUAUGUAGAAACACAUUUUAACUGUAUAGGUGCAUCACACCCCAACGUGCGAUUACUUAUCUGUUAUUUGUUUCAAACUAACCAUUUGAUGAUGCAUUCCAGUCCAGGGUUUUAUAGAACGGUGGUUGGUUUUUGUGGUAAUCUGGCUUCACACCCAUACUUUACGAGAUCAAAAGGGAGCGUUGAAAUGUCUUCAGAAAUGACUCUGCCAACAAUUCCCGUCAUGGAUGAUAGUCCUAUUUCAGGCAUCCCGACCUCAGAAUCGGCAGUUGCCGAAGAAAAUAGAAUCCUGCGUCUUCGGGUUAUGGAAAUGUGGGACACUUGGGCAAAUGGAAGAGAGCCACCAAGCGCCAUCCCGGGAUUCCCCGAACCUUUUCCUAGAGCAAGUGGUGCCUUCACUGUUCUGAUCAGUCACCCAAACACACCACUAGGACACCCAACUAUCUCAGCUCAUUUUGUGGGAACACCUUCUGAGGUUCGCCCCCAUAUGUUAAUGUCCGGUGCAGCUUCAAAUAUCUUCACUGCUCCCCCAUGCUCGGCCACAACACAGCCUACACUGCUUAGACCCAGUUUUGACCCCUCAACUUUCACCUUUCAAACACCCGCCUUCCAAAUGGAACCUCCUUAGUUUCCCACUUAUACUUAUCCUCAGCCACCCCAAUUUGAGUUCACUACGGGGCAAGAAAAGACCACCAAAACUCCUGAGCAAGAAGAGAUUAUGAGGAAGAUGAGGAGUAUGGAACAGAGUCUCAAAAGCAUACAAGGUUUGAGUGGACAGAAAAGUGUAUCAUAUGCCGACUUAUGCAUGUUUCCCCACGUGCACCUACCAUUGGGAUUCAAAACCCCAAAAUUUGAGAAGUAUGAUGGACACGGUGAUCCUAUUGCUCAUCUCAAGAGAUACUGCAACCAGCUGCGAGGGGCCGGUGGAAAGGAAGAACUCCUCAUGGCCUAUUUUGGAGAAAGUCUAGUGGGCAUCGCAUCUGAGUGGUACAUGGACCAAGAUAUAUCCCGCUGGCACAUCUGGGAUGAUCUUGCUAGAGAUUUCGUCAGGCAGUUCCAGUACAACAUUGAUAUUGCUCCAGAUAGGAACUCAUUGACAAACUCGAAGAAGAAAUCCUCGGAAAGCUUCCGAGAGUACGCAGUUAAAUGGAGUGAGCAGGCCUCCAGGGUAAAACCUCCGAUGGAUGAGGUUGAAAUGGUCACAGUUUUCCUCCAAGCUCAAGAAGCUGAUUACUUCCAAAAUAUGAUGUCCGCAAUGGGUAAACCAUUCGUUGAAGCCAUCAAGAUUGGCGAAAUGUUGAAAAUGGGCUGAAAACGGGUCGAAUUCUAAGCCAAUCUGCUAUCAGAGCCACCUCCCAAGCCAUUCAGGGUGGGUCUGGAGGAGUAGCGAAGGGCAAGAAAAAGGAAGAAACAUCCAUGGUAGCGUCGGGUGCAAAAAAACACCGUACUCCCAGAUCCCUUUUCCUAGAAAGAACCCCACAGCACUAUUACCCCCACCAAGGUGUGGCUUAUGCUCCUCAGCCAUACCCGAUCAUGAAUGCUCAACCUUAUGUCCAGCCACAACAACAAGCCGACCGGAACCAAGCUCUAUUUCCCAGAAACCAGCCUCCUUACCAAGCCCACUACAAUCCCCGACCUCCACAAAACAACUUCUGUGCCCGGGAGCCGCCAAGGGAAUCAAACUUCACUCCAAUUGGCGAAUCUUAUUCUAGCCUAUUCCAAAAAUUAGUCCAAAUGGGUUUGUUGCAACCCGUACCCCCAAAUAGGCAAAACCCAGAAUCACCUUCUUACCAACGUGGCACCCGAUGCGCUUAUCACUCAGGGGCUGAGGGGCAUGAUACGGAAAAUUGUUGGACUUUGAAAAGAGCUGUGGAAGAUUUGAUAGAAUAGAGGAAGAUAGUGCUUAGGGAUGAAGAUAUUCCCAAUGUGACUAACAACCCACUGUCGGCCCACAACAACGGGCCAGUAAUCGGAAUGAUUUGUGAGGAUAAGGAGUUUGACCCAGCAUUGAAGGCCAUCAUUGCCAUCGCUGAUGCAGAAAAGAAACCAAAAGUUGUCUCGAAUCAAGACAAAGGGGAGGAAAAGAACGAAACCACUCCUCCAAAGUUAGAGAAGAAAGUUGAAGUCGAAACUGGGGCAACGCCUCCCAAGGAUGCUGUUCUCUAUAUCCUGCAAGGCCGCAAAGAAAAGCCGAUGACUUUGAGUCCCCCUAGGAGAUUCUAGUUGAACAAGACAACCCCGAUGUAUGUGGCCAAGGGGGCUUAUGUGAUGCGGGGGCCAAUUAAUCUACCAAGGCUGAGCGAGCCCAUGGUUAUUGGACGCGCGCCACAGAAGCCCAUGACAGAUCCUACCGUUGUGCCCUAGAACUACAACAAAACGGUGGUGACCUAUAAGGGCAAAGAAAUCUCAAGAGAAGUUCAAGAAGAUAACCCGUUGAAAAGUAUUCUAAUUUGGAAGGGGUGAACAAUUCCACUAGAAAGCGCUUCCCAUCUAAGAAGCCCGUGAGUGCCAAAGAAGCAGAGACCUUCUUUCAAAAGAUGAAAAUGUCGGAUUAUGAGGUGAUCGACCAGCUACGAAAAUUCCCCGAACAAGUCUCUUUGUUGGUUUUGCUGAUGAACUCCACCGCACAUCAGAAGGUAUUGAUUAAGACCCUUAACGAAGCAUACGCGCCUGUCGAGACUUCUGUAGAACAGUUGGAGAGGAUGGUAGAAAGGUUUUUCGCAAUUAACCAGAUUUCCUUCAGCAAAAAUGACUUGCCCCCAGAAGGGGCCGCGCAUAACAAAGCCCUGCACCUGACAGUCAAAUGCGAAGGGUACUAUGUGAAAAAGGUUAUGUUGGACGGAGGCUCUGGGGUAGACAUCUGCCCACUCUCAACUCUACAACGCAUGGAAAUCUGGACCAAAAGAAUUCGACCCAAUAAUGUCUGUGUACGGGCUUUCGAUGGUAUAAAAAGGGACACAAUUGGAGAGAUCGAUCUGAUUCUGACCAUCGGCCCAGUAGACUUCGAAGUAACCUUCCAGGUUUUGGACAUGGUCACAUCCUACAAUUUUCUUUUGGGGAGGCCAUGGAUUCAUGCAGCGGGGGCUGUACCCUCUACCCUUCAUCAGAUGGUAAAAUUUGAGCAUGAAGAUCAAGAGAUUGUGGUCCACAGGGAAGACGAGCAGUCAAUUUAUUGGGACCCAUCAGUCCCAUGUCUUGAAGCAAGAGAAGGGAGUGAGCACAUAGUUUAUCAGGCCUUUGAAGUUGUGGUCGCAGACCAACACGAAGAGGGAAAUCAUUGCCCCCAACCCUUCCUUUCUUAUGCAACAAUCAUGGUGGCCAAAGAAAUGAUUAGACAUGGCUUCAAGCCGGGGAAGGGGCUCGGGAAAUCCUUGCAAGGAAUAACUGAACCUGUCACCUUGACCGCCAGUGAAAAGUUCUUUAGGAUAAGUUUUCGACCCACUCCAGCUGAUGUAAAAUGGGCAAAUGAUAGAAAGAAUGAUGGUUGGGUUUUGCCACAUCCGGUGUCGCAUCUGUACAAAACAUUUAUCAAGCCAAAAUACCAUGAGAAGGAAGAAAAUGAGGCCUUCACGGCUGAAGAGAUUGAAGAGAUCUGUGGGACAAUGAGGAAGAUACCAUAUGAAACCUACAUGGUCCAGCUGGGGGAGGGCUCAAGCACCGCUGAGGUGCUGUAUAUGGGACUUAAUGCCAAGCUGCAGAAUUGGAAGUCUACGCCAUUCCCAAUCAGGUGGGAAUCCCAGUAGACCUGUCCUGCCACCUUUUCUGCAUCAUGAGUUAUUUCAGGGUGUAACUCGGAUGUUUUCUUUAGUUUCUUGUCUUUUAAUUUUCCAAUGUAAACCCUGCUAUCUUCAAAUUCCAAGAAAUGAAAUCAAUAUUUCAUCGUUCAUCCUUUUUUAUUCCUUCUGAUUUUGUUGUUUUUUCUCUUUUAUUUCUUUUUUCAAUUCUAAUAAUGCGGCUUUAAAUAACAUGACAUGCUUGCGGACUUCAUGCCCAAAUCCAAGCACGUUGUCUAACUGCGAAAUAAUGAAUCAAGAACCGAAGUAUGAUGAAGAUGAGGCUUUUAGGGAAAUAAAUUGAGAAUUGGAACAAUUUGAGAAUAAACCUAAGCCGAACUUAAAUGAUACUGAACCGGUUAAUUUGGGUAGUUCUGAAGAAAUCAGGGAAACCAAGAUAAGCAUUCACCUAGACGGAAAAACUCGGGACGCCUUAAUCCAACUCCUGUUUGAGUUCAAAGAUGUGUUCGCUUGGUCAUAUGACGACAUGCUAGGGCUGAGUGUUGAUUUGGCGGUUCAUAAGUUGCCUACUUACCCAGAUUGUCCCCAAGUCCAACAAAAGCAAAGAAAAUUUAAAACUGGUAUCAGUGACAAGAUCAAAGAAGAGGUCACGAAGCAGUUGAAAGCGGGGGUGAUCCGAGUGGUACGGUACACCACAUGGCUAGCUAAUGUGGUCUCAGUUCCAAAGAAAGACGGGAAGACCGGGGUGUGUGUGGAUUACAGAGAUUUAAACAAGGCAAGUCCCAAAGAUAACUUUCCUUUGCCGAACAUCCACAUCCUUGUUGAUAACUGCGCCAAGCAUGAGAUACAAUCUUUCGUGGAUUGUUACGCAGGAUAUCACCAGGUGUUGAUGGAUGAAAGAGAUGCGGAGAAGACAGCUUUUACCACACCGUAGGGUACAUACUGUUACAGAGUCAUGCCAUUUGGUCUGAAGAAUGCCAGGUCAACCUAUAUGAGGGCCAUGACUGUCAUUUUUCACGAUAUGAUGUACCAAGAAAUAGAGGUGUAUGUGGACAAUGUAAUCAUCAAAUCCAAAACCCAGGAUGAUCACGUUCGGGACUUGAGAAAGUUCUUUGAGCGGCUGCACAAAUAUGAUUUGAAUCUGAACCCAGCCAAAUGUGCAUUUGGGGUACCAUCCGGCAAACUCCUAGGAUUCAUCGUCAGUCGAAGGGGCAUCGAGUUAGACCCAACUAAGAUAAAGUCUAUUCGAGAUUUGCCUCCUCCGAAAACCAAGAAGGAUGUUAUGAGUUUGUUGGGUAGAUUGAACUAUAUCAGCCGGUUCAUUGCCCAGUUGACAUCCACAUGUGAACCCAUAUUCAAAUUGCUAAAGAAAGACGUGACAAUCAACUGGACAGAUGAAUGUCAAGAAGCUUUUGAUAAAAUCAAGGAAUAUCUGUCAAAUCCGCCAGUCUUGGUCCCACCUGAGCCAGAGAGGCCUUUGUUCUUGUACCUGACAGUCUUGGAAAAUUCUUUUGGCUGCGUCCUCGGGCAACACGAUGUGACCGGAAAGAAAAAGUAGGCCAUUUACUAUCUGAGCAAGAAAUUCAUUAGUUAUGAAGCCAAAUACACUUUGUUGGAAAGGACUUGCUGCGCUCUGACUUGGGUCGCUCAGAAGCUGAGGCAUUAUUUGCAAGCUUAUACCACUUACCUCAUAACCAGGUUGGAUCCUUUAAAAUACAUAUUCCAGAAGCCAAUGCCCACUGGGAGGCUAGCAAAGUGGCAGAUCCUGCUUACGGAAUUUGACAUAGUAUAUGUCACUCGCACGACAAUGAAAGCCCAGGCGUUGGUAGAUCAUUUGGCUGAAAAUUCGGUCGAUGAUGAAUACUAACCUUUGAAUACUUACUUCCCAGAUGAAGAGGUAAACUCAGUUGAGGCAAUAUCUGAAGACAUCAAUGCUUGGAAAAUAUUCUUUGAUGGAGCGGUAAACGCAAAAAGGUGUCGGAAUUGGGGCAAUCUUGAUCUCGCCCACCGGUCAGCAUUACCCAACCACAGCUAGGCUUCGGUUUUUCUGCACAAACAACACUUCCGAGUACAAAGCUUGCAUUAUGGGUAUGAACCUGGCAAUCGACCAAGAUGUCGAAGAACUGUUAAUCAUGGGAGAUUCAGAUUUGAUUAUCCGACAAGCUCAAGGAGAAUGGGAAACCCGAGAUGUCAAGCUUAUUCCUUAUAGGCAACAUGUGGAAGAACUUGGCAAGCGAUUUAAGUCAAUAGAGUUUAGGUACAUUCCUCAUUGCCACAAUGAACUAGCUGAUGCGCUUGCCACUUUAGUCUCAAUGCUACCAUACCCAGGUAAUGCCCACAUUGACCCCUUGGAAAUCCAGAUUCGGGAAAGGCAUGGUUAUUGUAAUACGGUUGAAACAACACCAAAUACCCAACCAUGGUACCAUGACAUCAAAAAGUUUUUAAAAAUGCAAGAAUACCCCGAGCAAGCCAGUAGAGAUCAGAAGAGAACCAUUAGGCGGCACGCAAGUGGUUUCCUUUUGAGUGGCAAUGUCUUGUACAAGAGAACUCCGGACUUCAACUUGUUAAGAUGUGUUAAUGUAGAAGAGGCUGGAAGAAUCAUGCAUGAGGUACACAUGGGAGUAUGCGGACCCCACAUGAACGGUUAUGUUUUAGCAAAGAAAAUCCUUCGAGCGGGCUAUUACUGGAUAACCAUGGAAAAGGACUGUUUCAGCUUUGUCCGGAAGUGUCAUCAGUGUCAGGUGCACGGUGAUUUGAUUCAUGCACCUCCCAUAGAACUACAUCCUAUGUUAGCACCUUGGCCAUUUGUUUCUUGGGGUAUGGAUGUCAUUGGGCCAAUCGAGCCGAAAGCCUCAAAUGGGCACAGAUUCAUACUAGUUGCCAUUGACUACAUCACAAAAUGGGUUGAAGCCAUCACUCUCAAAUCCGUUACCAAGAAAGCAGUGGUAGAUUUUGUGCACUCCAAUCUUAUCUACCGUUUUGGCAUUCCUGCAACUAUUAUCACGGACAAUGCCACAAACUUGAAUAGUCAUUUGAUGGGAGAGAUAUGUGAGAAAUUCAAGAUAAUGCACCGGAACUCUACUCCUUAUCGGCCCAAAGCCAAUGGUGUCGUCGAAGCAGCAAACAAAAACAUCAAAAUGAUUUUGAGAAAGAUGAUUCAAAGUUCCAGGCAGUGGCAUGAAAAGUUGUCGCUUGCAUUGUUAGGAUAUCGCACUACCGUGCGCACGUCAAUUGGAGCCACCCCGUAUCUGUUGGUUUAUGGCACUGAAGCCGUAAUACCCGCAGAGGUUGAAAUCCCCUUUCUCAGGAUCAUUGUGGAAGCUGAUAUUGAAGAUAGUGAGUGGGUUAAAACCCGUCUGGAAUAGUUAACCUUGAUCGAUGAAAAGCGAAUGGUCGCGGUCUGCCACGAGCAGUUGUACCAACAAAGAAUGGCCCGUGCCUACAAUAAGAAAGUGCGGCCUAGAAAUUUUGAAGUGGGGCAACUCGUUUUUAGCCGUAUUCUUCCCCAUCACCAGGAAGCAAAAGGAAAAUUUGCUCCUAAUUGGAAAGGCCCAUACAUCAUUAGAAAGAUAUUGCCGAGAUGAGCAUUGUAUCUGGGCGAUAUCGAAGGAAAUGAUCCCAAAGCAGUUGUAAAUGCGGAUGCAGUCAAAAGGUACUAUGUUUAGGUUUUCUGCAGUAACAACCUUGUCUGAUUGGGAUGACGAAGGCUUUCGUUCUCGCUACCCCAAAUACUAUCUCCCCUUUUGCAAACCCAUAUGAGCCGGUUACUCUUCUUUGAUUACCCUCUUUGCAACCGAAAAGUGUUAUGAAAUGAAAAUGAAAAAAAAAGUUUUCCUGAACUACGUUCGACUUGAUUCCGAAAGGAUACGUAGGCAGCCUCUCCCUGGGGUUCAGUCACACCAAAACAAAAAGCCAAUUUUUUCCCAAAAGAGUAAAAUUGGGACAGAUGAUGUAAUAGUUCGGCAAUGAUCCCGCCGACCGGUUCCAAAGUUGUAAUGCGAUCCAAUUCUCUUUUUACCCGAACCCUGUCCAAGUCCUACUGAUCAAUCGGCAAAGGCGUCAGAAUUAGAAAACACAGCUGCGUGGAUUUGAUACAAUCAAAAUGAGAGAAAUAAAAUGAGAGAGUCUUAUCGGUGAAAACCUACGGGCACCAUAAGGCAAUAGUGAGCAAAGAAAUUGAAAAUGAGAGAGCUUGGGUAGUGAAAACUCGUAAGGAGCACUAUCAGGCAGCGGUGAGAAGGGAAAUGAGAGAGGUCGAUUGGCAAAAGCCCGCAAAGGGCGCCGUUGAUCGAAAAGAAGACACCCUCGCCACCAUUGGAGUCCUGGCUAGGUUUCUCGAUUUGAAAAUAUGGUUCACAAUGAGUUUAUGAGGAAUUAGGGAAGUUUGUGCGGGUCGGAUAUCCAGUCCAAGAAGUAUGUCAUGUCUAUUGAAGCCCGCAUGCACCCCAGAUAAGUCCUUCCUCCCCUCCCGAAAGGGACGCUUCUCCCUUAAAUUCAUUUUUUCUUGUCCUUUGUUUACUUUUCCUUGAAUCCCUUUCGGUCUAACUCCGUUCCGAAACUGAUACAAAGACAAGGUGGCAAGAUUGGUUUUACAGGUUUCCGCUUGAUAAAAGCCAAAUCAAAUAAGAGUACCCAGCCUCAGCGGAUGCAUCGAGUCGAUCCCGACUGGCCAUGAUAGUUGAUGCUCUGAAACCAGAAUUUAUGAAAAUAAAAGAAAUCCGAAGUCAAAAUCCCUAAAGGGGGGAUAAAGUGAAAAGGCCAAAACCCCGCACGGUUGAAUCGUCGUCUGGGAAGUUUGAAAAGUUGAGUUCCUCGGUCUCAGGAGAGAGAUUAGUUUUCAGCAAGCCAGCAAGCAGAAGAGGUUCUCACCAAAAGAGUUGGGCCGAGAUCAAGCGAUCAAAACAUUCAAGGCCACAAAAAUCAACCACUGUUUCAAACUGACAAAUUGCUCUUUGAGUUGAAAACAGGAGAACGGGUGUAGUCCAAAACAACCCUGCAAGAAGUAGGUGCAAUAAAAGCAAGGCACGCAGAAACCAAAACAGUUCUGCAGCAAAAGUUGACCCGAAGAGGGAAGUCCUUUUAAACUCUUCAGUCAUUCUCCUAAAUAAAAUGAAAAGUGAAGUAAAAAAAAAGAGGAAGAAGAAAAGAAAGAAGANNNNNNNNNNNNNNNNNNNNNNNNNNNNNNNNNNNNNNNNNNNNNNNNNNNNNNNNNNNNNNNNNNNNNNNNNNNNNNNNNNNNNNNNNNNNACCCAAGGACCCUUUUUCUUUAUCCCGGCAUAACCCGUGGACCUCCCUGGAAUAACCCAAGGCCCUUUUUUUCUUUUCUCUCGGCAUAACCCGUGGACCUCCCUAGCAUAACUCAAGGACCUUUUUUCUUUUUCUCCCGGCAUGACCCAUGGACCCCCUGGCAUAACCCUAGGACCUUUUUUCUUUUAUCCCGGCAUAACUCGUGAACCUCCCUGGCAUGACCCAAGGACCUUUUUCUUUUAUCCCGGCAUAACCCGAUGACCCCCCUGGCAUAACCCAUGAACCCUUUUCUUUUAUCCCGGCAUAAUCUGAGGACCCUUUUUCUUUUCCGGCAUAACCCGGUCAGCUUUCCAGCAUAACCUGUAAAUCCUCCCAAUUUAGGGCUUUGCACCCUACUUUUGAGGAUACACAAUCCUGAUUUUUAUUGCUUUCAAUAAAGAGAUAGCUUGGAUUUGUGUUGCAAAUAACUCACGAAAUUUUCCUAGUGAAAAGUGGGGAAGAACAAUUUCAUUCGUUUGUUUGUUUUGGUGUCUGAGCAGGUUUUACCUCAAGGCACGAGAUUCAAGAUGGCCAAAAGAAUGAGUCUCAAUCCGAAAAGAAGAAAAGAACAAAAAGAAGUGAAUUCAAAGUGUUAAGGAAGACAAAGAUGCGGAUUGCUCAAAACUUGAUUGAAGGCACAAGCUUCGCCUGUCCCGCCUUGAUCCAGUAAACCAGCACCUACAGCUUGCGAGCAUCAAGAUUCGGAUCGGGGUCCACAGCAAAAUCAGCUAAGACUCAAGAUCAAGUUGCAAGAGAUUUAUAGAUAGGAAUCUUGUAACUCGUAGUUGAUAGGUGUAGCUAGCGUAGCUUUUGAUUUUUCCUUUUUGGCGUAAUAAGAAGGUCAGCAAGCAGUAGCAACAGCAGUGAAAUCACAGCUUCCGGAUAGUCCCAGCUACCAAAACUUCCAGAACUACACCGACAUGAUUCCUUUAUAGACAAGGAUAUGUAGGCAACCUUUGAAGCAAGGUUCGGUCAGACUCUUUUCAAAAUGCUUCUCAUGGAGUGUCAAACGGGCAAAAAUCCCUCAUAAUUGCUCAUUUUAUCUUUGCCCGAAAACCCUUCGUGUCUCCGAGCAAAGAGGGGCAUCUAUGAGCACGUGAUUUUUGCCUCGCAUGAAUUACUCCUACAGAAUCCCCAAAAUUAGGAUUUUUCUUUUUAUUUAUUUGGUAUUUAGGAAUUAAUUGGCCAAUUUUCGUGUUUAUUUACAUUUUGUGCGCAUAUUUAAUUUUAUUUACAUCAUGAAAAAUAGCAAAAAAAUAUCACGCAUUGCAUUUAGGAUUUAAUUUUAUAUUUUUAGAUUAAUUAGUAAAUUAGUUUGUUUUACGAAAAUGGAAAAAUCACAAAAAUAGGUCGUUUUCGCAUUUUUAAUUUUUAGCUUCGAAUUUUAGUAGUUUUCUUUUAAUUUGGUAUUUAAUUAGUUGUGGUAAUUAUUAUUUAGAGUUAAUUAAUUUAAUUUGGUAGGAUAAUUUGGUUUAGGGAUUAUUUUAGGUUUUAUUUCUAAUUUUUUUGAAAAGAAAAGAUGUUUUUAUAAUAAAAGGAAAAUGGGAAAAGGAAAAGAAGUGAAAAGAAUCAGAUGUUUGGGCCAAAUCCAUAAAAUUCCUCAAAGCCCAAUUAAUUCAACCCUUGAAACCCGUUUACCCAAGCCCAAAACCCGUCUCACCCAGUCUAGCCCACUCUCAUCAAACGACGUCGUUUAGGUGACCAGCAGAUCUGAGCCGUCGAGGUUCUUUAAUCCAACGGCUCCAAAGUGGGGGACCGCCUAAUAUAUAUAUAUAUGUCCAAAUGCCCGUACCCCCCCUCAUCUCAUCUCUCUCAACUCCUCUCUUCAGAGAUCGUUACCACGAACCCUAGAGCGCCACCCUCAAAACCUUGCCAUCUUCGGUGGCGGCACCGGUAUCAAUCAACACCAAAUCAACACCCCAGAUUCCCCUUCACCUCCCCGUUCCGAAUCCUCACUCCUUUUCUUUCGAAUCUGUCUGGAGCGUCACGAAUCUUGAUUCAAAGGAGAAGCCCUAGCGCCGCCUUUGUUUUCUCCGAUGGCGGCGCCACCCCUAACCGGCCCCAAACAUCCACCCCAAAAUCCUCGCAACCUCCCCUUCCCAAAUCCCUAACUAAUUUCCCUCGAAUCCUUUGGCAUCUGCUCAAAUUUCAAAUCUGAGCGCGAACCCUAAAAACACAAAAUCAAUUUCUAUUGAAUCUGUUGGCAUGCAUGACCAUAGGCUUCCGAUUUGUUCUAGUGUUGAAGUUUGAUUCAACGUGAAUUGAUGCUACUCAUUUGUUCUUGACAAAGAACAAGUGAUUAGUAUCAAUUCCGUUUAAAUCAUGAUGUCCAACGUUAUUUCGAGUUUAGUCGGCAAGCUUUCUUUAUUUUUCUAUCCAUUUUGUUAUUUCACCUCCUACUCCUCUUUUUCUUCUCAUUUUUCAUGAAGUAGACUAAAAAUUGACCAAGGUUCUGUACCUAGGUUUCUUUUUCUAGAUUGAUUCAUAUCUGUAUUGGUUCCGGCUUUUUUUCAGUUUUCCUUUCAACUUUUAAACGUUGUUUUUGGUAAGAUUAUUUACUCGUCAUGCUUAAUUGUCACUCAUGACUUUAAGUUUCUGAUUUUUUCUAGUCGUAUGAUUAGUUUAAUUAGAUGUUGUUGAUUUGGUAAUAUAGUUAAUUCUAGCUCAUUAUUUGGUUAAAAUCAGUCAUUCAGUUUAGAUUUUUGUUUUUGAAAUCAUUUAAUUGGUUUCUUCUUCUGUUUUUCAUGAAUUGCCAAAUGGAUUUUCUGAUUGAUUUUGGGCUUUGGGGUCAUUUCUGACCCAUUUUUAAGAGAAGCUCACUCAUUUUGGUUUGAGUCUUGGGUCAGAAUUGACCCAUGUGGUCUGUUGUGGUAAUUAACAAAGUCUUAAAGGGUAGAUUAGGAAAUCUAGGUGAGAGAAUCUCUUAUAACUGAAUGGGAAGCUGCCUAGAGGGUGGGGGUUGGGACUUAUGUGAAAACCUGAUUUUUAAACUAAGGAUUAAAUACCAAAAAUGAAAACUUCAAAAGGAUGAAAGUGCAAAAACUGAUUUCAUUAUUGCUGCCCUAGUAACUUGCCUAUAAAGGCAUUGUUACUUGAGACUCAAGGGGGAUUGGAAAAAAAACUAAGAAACUCAGAAAAAAAAAACAGCUGAAAUUUGGAGAAAAAAAUUACUGUUCCAUUAAGUUCUAUUUCUGAUUUUUUGGAAUUCCAACUUGCUAAGGCAAUCUUUGGUUCAGUGGGUAUGUAAAAUGGCUUGAACUUGUUUUUCUCUUAAAGUCUGGGUUUGAGUUCUGGGUCGAGGUCAUUGUUUCAUUAUUGGUUGAGUUGAUUUCACUGGAUAUUUGGUGGAAUCUGUGAUUUUUCUUGCUGCUGAGUUUUACUACUUUGGUUUCUGCUGUUGCUGGACCUGUUAAACUGCUGCUGUAGCUGUUUGUUGCCCUCACAUUUUUCCUUUUGUGUAUUUUCCAGGUAUUUCCCCAAACCAUGGUCAACAAGUGACUAAGAACAUGUAUUUCUAGUUGAAGCCUGACUGAAUGCCAACUGUUUUGAACUCCAUUACAUUCAUUUCCUCUAUUUCUUUAAUGUUCUGUAAUAAGUCCCGAAUUACACAUAUUGUCUCAGUUAUCUCAUGACCUUAAUAUGCUAUACAAGUGAAUAUGUGCUCUUUAAGAGUUUUGGGUGUUGAUUAAUUCUCUAGAUUUUGUUACUUUUUGGUAUUGAAAAAGAGUUAGUUAGUUUAAAGUCUCGUGCUAUGUUUGUAAGUUUAGUUAAGUGUGAAUGUUCGUUAAUCUGAAGUCAAGCAUGUAUCCUCAGUAGUAAUUCAAAGUUUUCCUGAUGUAUUAAUUAUUGGGUAGUGAUGAGAUUUAACAGUUUGUGUUUGAGUGCAAGGGUUUGUUUUGCUUUAGCAUAGACUCGAUCUUGAGUUUGAAAUCCUCAGUUUUGUUUGUUACAAUGUUGGGCUCGUCGAGCCUUGAAUUCUGAAGUCACUUGCAAGGGAAGAUGGCUUGUUGUUAUUAUCUGGGCUCGUUUUUGAGCUCAGUAGUGCAUUCUUUUAGCUACUGGAUUAUUUGGGUAGCAGAUUUGACUCAAGGAUGCAUGGAAGAUAAAAUAAAAAAUUUAGCUUAGUUAAAUUGUGUUAAUUGUUUAAAAUCAGAGUUUAAGUUUGUUAAUCUGACUUUAUGUUCCAUAAUUAACAUCAGUUUAAUUUGUAUGAAUCAUUUGAAUCACGAGAACUUGGUCCUAGCAAUGGCCCAGUAAAUGAAGUCAGGGCCAUUAAUUCAAAUAAUUCUGGUAUUCUGCAUGUGUAGAGACUCAAUCUGGAGUCUCGCAUCUGCCGUUGCCCAUUCUCUAUGGCUUAGGGCUUGCAUUGGGCAUGUAUUAGGGCAGACCGAUUGUUGGUCUUUUAGUUUUAAAUUGAUCCAAAAUUUUAGUCUUAAAAGUGUUGAUCAUUCUGUCCUCUAAUUAAUUGAAUUCUCACUAGUUACAUUACGAAGUGAGCCAUAUCCAUUAGAAUAUAACUUAUGGCCCUCCGAAGCCUAGUUUGAAUGCCUCUUUAAUUAGAAUUGAAGUGCGUCGCACCAAAUAAAAUCUCAAAUGCAUGACCCUCAUUUAAUUAUUUCAUUUAAAAUACCUAAAAAUCGAAGCGUGCCAUUUAGCAAAUUUCCAUGGCCCUCGCAAAGCUAAAACGCGUAGUUUCUUUAGGCGCGUAUUUUAAUAAUAUUACCUUCCUAAACUCGGGUGUGCAUUUCAUGUGACCCAACUCCAAUUCUCAACAAUGUUAAAUAAAAUAUGUCGUGGAUCACGGGUGCAUUUCAUGUGGCGCGGUCCGAAGACGUGUUUUAAAUAACGUUGAAUCUUCCUAAAAAUAAUUAAAAGCGUUUUAAUAAAGUUAAAAUGUACCAUAGGCUAAAACAUGUAUUAAAAUCAGAUAAUAGGCCAAUUAUGAUAGUUUAAGCGACCGUGCUAGAACCACGGAAUCCGGGGGUGCCUAACACCUUCCCUCGGAUUAAUAGAAUUCCUUACUUAGAAUUUUUGGGUUCGCAGACUUCAAAAGGAAAGUCGAAAUCUUCCUCGAUUUGGGAUUAAAAAUUAAACCGGUGACUUGGGACACCAGAAAACAAACCAUCCCAAGUGGCGACUCUGAACAAAAAAUGAAUAAUUAAUCUCAUUUCGAAUAAUGUCACUUAAAUUGGAAAAAACUCCCUUAUACUACCUUCAGAUGUGUAAAAAGGAGGUGUGACAUAGGUUAUAGACUUAUGUUUUCCUUUUCUUUUGAAUUACUUAUUUCAAUUUUACAUAAGAGUAUUAUACUAUUUUUUUUUGAAUUUUAAAUUUAUGUUAUAUUUUUUAUUCUAUUUUAUUUGCUUUCUUAGUAUUGACUUAUUAAUCAGAUAUAUGAGAUUCAUUUUUCAGUUAGAAUUGAUAUAUAAUUUUUUUAUAAAAUAUUUGAGUAAUAUUAUGGUGUUAUAUUUAUAAAUAUUAAUCUUUUAUCAUGCACUCAUGUUGUUCUUAUAAAAUAUGUGCUUUUAGUUUUUAUUAUUAAUUAAAGUAAAAUAUUAUUAAAUUUAAGAUAUACGUCAAUUAUUUUUACAAUAUUAGUUUCAAAUAUAUUAUUAGUAAUUAAUAUAUUUUUCAAGAAAUAAUAUUUAUCUUAAAUGUCAAAAUUAAUACUAUCAUUUAAAAAGGUAUAUAUUUGCUAAAUCUUAACUAUUUUUUUGAUAAUUAACUUUAUGUUUAAAAUUUAAUCUAACUGUAUAAUUACACUUGUGCAACCAAACAAUACGCUUGUAAUUAUAUUAUGACAAACAGAUAGGUUGUCGUAAUUAUAAUAUUGUGUAAUUACUAGAUUGUGUAAUCAUUACUAGAAAUUCGACCAAAACCGAACGCAGCCAACCGACCGGUUUCGAUCGGUAAAAAAAACGACCGAAGUCGGUCGAUUUUUUAACAUAUUUUUUUUUAUUUUUUUUUUUACGAAAAUCGACCAACUUCGCUCGGUUUUUUUUUUGGCGCAAAAAUGCGGGAAACUAUUUUAGUCUCCCGCAAAAUUUAUUUUUUAAGAAACGACCGAAAUCGGUCGGUUUUUCAUAUAAAAUAAAUUAAAAUUAAUGUUCAAAAAUUGACCGAAAUAGGUUUGUUAUUUCAGUCAAUCAUUUUAAAAAACCGCCCGAAGUCUAUAUUUUUAAUAUGACGACCGACUUCGAUUGAUUAUUUUCUCGCAAAGAUACAAUAAAAGAGUACAAAUAUUGUAAAAGAAAGUCGUAAACCAAAAUGUACUAAUGGUUUAUUGGUAGAAUAGGAUCCUGCCACAGUACAGACCCUGGUUCGAUUCCUAGAUGGUGCAUUUUUUAAUUGAACAAUUAAAAAUACCGACCGAAUUCGGUCGGAAAAUAUCGACCGACUUCGAUCGUUUUUUUCGGGAGAAUUUUUCUUUUUGGGUCGGUUAUGAAAUUUAAUUGACCGACUGAAAUCGGAUGGAAAUUGCGACCCGCUUCGGUCGCUAUUUAUUACCGACCAGCCUAAUUUCGACGGAUUAAUAUCGGUCGAAAAUCGGUCGAUUUUCCAAUUUUUCGACCGAUUUCGGUCGGUAUUUCUCGACGGUUUUUGGCAGUUUUCUAAUAGUGAAUUACUACCCUAAUAAUUACACCAAUUCUAAUUAUAUGUUGGCCUUUAAACUUAAGUAACACUUCACUAAUUAGAGUAAACAGUAAUUUAAGAAAAAGUUUCUUUUUAAAUUUAUAUGUAUAGUCAGUCAGACUGGUUGAAUCCUAAAAAAAUACUAAACAUUGAGUAAAAAAACCAAAAAAGCACGUAUGUAAUCUCUCCCUUAGUCCAAGUUCCUUCUUUUUUUUUUGUCAACCAAAGAACUUUAUAUUAUAUAAUUAAAGAUUACAAGGAGCAGGUUGGAUCAACCGUUGAUUACAAAAACUAUUUUACUUCCUAAUGCAAUGGGUGAUCUCGUAUAGGAUCCCACGCUAGUACAAGCAGCUUGACAUAAACGUUGAAAUCAGAAAUCAAGUAACAACAACAACAACAAAUUAGAAAUCAAGUGAUCGAAAAAAAUAGAAAUCAAUUGAAGUGUAAUGGCCUUUACUAUUCAGUACAAGUUAUGAGGACCCUUUGGCCAUAAAAAAAAUUCAUUUUUUUUGGGAAUCAGUGUUUGACCAUAAAAUUUUCAAAUUGAAGUUGAAUUUUGGAAUUUUUCCGAAAUUUUGAAAAAACUCCAAAAAGUUAUUUUUCAAAAUUUUCACUUCAAAUUACUCACAAAAAUUCAAAAACAACUCCAAAUUGUAUUCAUGUCCAAACAUCUAAAUUUUUAAAUACCAUUUUCACUUGAGAAAUAUUUUUUACCUUUUUUCCGUAAUUUCACAAUUCUUACUAUGUCCAAACGCCUACAUCAUCUUUGAAGUAGAAAAAAAUUGAAAUUUGAGAAAUUUAUUUGAGGAAUAACUUGAGCAAAAUAAUAGUCUCUACUUGCAAAAUUUGAACUCUUUUUUUUUUUUCAAAUAAAAUUUAUGUUAAAAACAGUACGGUUACUUAUAAAUACGUUUCUUUCCACUUCAAUUUCAAAUGCUUUUCUCAAUGGACCCCUAAAGUUAACAUUUUUGCCUCAAUACAAUUUCAAAAGGCUGAAGUAAUAAAGCUUUACAAGUUACAAGCGGUUAUAACACUUUUAUUUUUAUGCAGUUCAAUCUAUUAUAUUCAUACAAUUUACUUUCAAGUAAAUAUAAUUUAAAUAUAUGAAUUUAAUUAAAUUUAUUGACGAAUCGAUGUCGAAAGACACCAAUUGAUUAUGAGUGCCUAUGCCACAUAAAAUAACAAGAAGAGUUUAGGAAAAAUAGAGCCAUGAUCACGCCCAAUUAUACCUUAUAAAAAGGACAAAACGGUCGUUGCAAAUAUAUUCUGGUUAACAAGUUCGGAGUCGAAUCCCACCGGGAAUUAACCUACUAAACAUAGCUAUUGGACUCCCACAAAUUCACGUAUUCAAUCUUCAGAAAUAUUUAAGUAAUAAAUUGGAUGUUUACUAACUAAAUAUUACGUAAUAAAAAUUCAAUAAAUAAGAACUACCUACGAACGGCUUGUAGACAAGAAUUGAAAUGAUCUAAGGUUCUGAUUUUCCCUAUUGUCGGAUUCCUUUCCGCUACGUUUUCUAUAAAUUUGUCUAAGUCUUCUCUAUCGAUCAGGAGCACUCUGAUUGUCGUAACUCUCUCCCGAGUAAUUACCACAAUAUACUAGACAUAUUCUCCCGAAUUACGCUAGUUGGCCUUAAGUACAUCUCACUCAGAUCGCAUCAAGGUUUCGUUAUCCCUAGUCCCGCUUUUAAAUACUUUGUAUUGAUCCCUCAUAUACGUUAGGAGUGAUGUUGUUCAACAAUUACCUAAAUAUUCACUCUCUCCCGAGUAAUACAUACUAAAUAAGAACAGUUAAUUGAGGACCCUUCAAUCAACAGAAAUAAGCAUAUAAUUGAACAAAUAGAGAGAAUACUAUGGCAAGUCUAUACUAACGUAACAAGAAAAUCAUCCUCCAACAGGUUCCAUCAAAACCCUAAAUUAGGAGUUUAGCUACUCACACUCAUAGUAACAAUAUCCAAAGUAUUUUGCAUAAUAAAAUUACAAAUUAAGGAUAAAGGGAUGUAGAAAUCGUUGAUUCUAACUCCCAAGUAGUGUUCCACGAGCUAUCCUUUCCUCCGGUUGCAAAAGUCCUUCAAAGUGGCAUUUUUAGGUCUAUUUGUAUAUUUAUGACAAGACCUUAACGUGUAGGUCAAAUCCUAGUCAAGCUGAGAAAUGAAUUAAGUCUUCAAAACUCGGACUGGACCUCGCCCUAAGCCUGGCGUUGCCAACCUAACUCUUGGUAAACCUGGCCCCAGGCUUGGGGUUGCAAUCCUAAUGCCUGGUUCUGCUUGGCCUUUGCCUUGUGUCGCCAGCCUAACGCCAGCCUCAAGCCUGGCCUUUGCCUUGCAUCGCCAGCUUCACGCCAGCUUCAAGCCUGGCGUCGCCAGGUUCUCUCAUUCACUGGUCAUGUGCACGCUUUCGACUUGUAGGUCUCCUUUUUCUUCUGCUUUCAUCUCCAAUUCACCUACACAUAAAAUGGACCCUAUAACACACAAAUAAUGUGUACUUUAUCAUUAAACUGUAUAAAAAUGCAAGGCGAAUAAUGUGCUAAACCAUGAAUUAUAGCCACACAUGAAUACCUCACACUUAAUCAUUGCUCGUCCUCGAGCAAUCAAAUUACACUCAUAGACACAACCUAUUAAGCAAUUCCCUUAACUCAUUAUACCAAGAAUCUUUAAAAUAGUUUAAGCACAAAGGUGUGACAUCCUCGCAUCAAGAUUCAACUCACAAAUACCAUGCCUUAUUCACAAUUCACUUACUUACUCUAACAUGGAAGUUAACAACAUUACCUUUUUUUAUGAAUCAUGUUCCCUCACCCAAUCAAAGAGCUUAGUUCCACACACAGUGAAUUUUAAUAACGUAGGAACUCAAGAUGGGAUAAAUUCACUGGCUCUUAGAAAUAACCUUCAUAUGCCCCAAAUGAUGCACUAUAAGCUUGCCCGUAGUGUAAUACUCCACUAAUCGAGUUCAUUCAGUCUAAGAACAAAUAGGACUUUCAUUGGUUGUGAUGUAGGCUGCGGGUCAGGUAGGAUACAUUUGAAUAUAAGCGACUACACCUCAUUUAAGCACUUUAAUACAAACACUUUAACCUUCAAGCCCAUAUUUAUGUUAAACCAAAACUCCACCUUAAUUCCACUAUUUUUACCCCCUACUUCUUUAAGCACCAGUACAUCAAAAGCCACCACCAUCAGGAAUUAUUUUUCAUACACUACAACUAUUAUAUUUAUUUAUUUUUUCUUUUUUUUCUUUUUUUCUAUCCAAAUGGCUUUUAUUGACAUAUUCUUUUCUUUCAAAUGGUGCACCUUUCUCCUUAUUUUAUUUGUUCCACUCAAAAGCCAACCCACCACCCCACACUUUAACUUUUCUAUAAUUCAUCACAAUUAAAGUGCUCAUGAGAGGUGACAAGGUUCAAAUAUAUGGUCGAUUCAAACAAAGGGGUACAACUUGUAAUGUGGUUACCAAAGAAAUAGGAUUGCAGUCUCAAAGAGGUUAACUGCGAUACAUAACAUUUAGAUGGGUACUCUAUAUAUAUUUGGCUUAAUAAAGAACUGCCUAUAUCACUUCUCAGACUGAACAAGACUACAAUUUCUCUUUGCGCACACACGGGGCAAGUUCUAGACAUCAAAUGGUAUGCACAUAAUACAUUCAAACCUCACAUAGACAUGACACAUAACUCAUUCAGGAUUGUUUUUUUUAUCACGAUACUCCAGUCAAAGCAGUUAAGCAAAUUUAAGAAUCUACGAUUUAAGGUACUUAUACUAGAGUCAAAAAUUGAGCCUAAGCGUCACAACCAGAGUACUGGCUAUUUUCAAGGCAUCACAAAGCUUAGAGAUAUUGCUGCGAUUAAAUGCAUAGCCACGUGGUUCCUACUCCUAAAAAUUAAAACUAACUACACCCGGUUCAACUAAAAACCCUUGAAAAAGAACCGCGUUCCAAAGAAAUCAAGGGGGAAUUAUUACACUACCUACACAAAAAAAUCUUUUUGGUAUUUUCUUUAGACUUACUUCCCUCAAGAAAACUAUCUAGGAGAUCCACCGACGGGAAAAAUCCAACAUUUUAAUGUUUUUAAAUAUUUUCUGCCUAAAAAAGCUAACAAAAAAAAAACAAAUUCUAAAAAUAAAAAAAAAACUUAAAAUAAAUAACUGAAACAUUUAGCUAACAAAAACGACACUUACUACAACAACAAAAAUAGCUAACAACUACUAAUUUCUACAAGUUCUCACCCCACACUUAGAUCAUGCCGUGUCCUCAGUCCAUGCACAAAUUGACAAAACAAGAAAGAAAAAGAGUAGGGUGCAAGGAAACUCCCUGAUCAAGCAGUGUCUUCAUCCUCUAACGCUCUCCACUCUUUAUCAUGUUCGUCCUCCUCCUCCUUAUCAUCUAUCUCACCAUUUGAUUGUUGUGGAUCAACCUCAAACUGCUCAAGUGUAUUGAUAUCCUCAUCAUCGGGGAGUCUGUAUCCAUCUCCUAACCCAACUAGCUGCUGGGCAUGAGCAUUGAGCGGGUACCAAUGCUUCAAUUCAGUCAUCUCCUCAGAUGUGGCCCGGCGACCCCCUAUCCGCAGCUGCAAAUCCAUCAUCCCAUAGAUAUGGGCCAUAAAACUAUCAUUAUGCGCAUUGCGCUCAGCACAUGUCAAUGAUGGCAUGGCAGACUCAUUUUUCAACUGGAGAUUAGUGAUGCCCAUUUGUCGGAUGGGCUGAUCGAUGGUGUGGUCAAAUUCAGGCUCCUCCUCAACCUCCUCGUGCUUUAAGAACUACGUCAAGAAAUUAGCAAAUGGCAUUCGAUCUAUUUUCUUACUCGUUCUCACUGAUGACAUCUGGUAGCAUAUCAGAUGACCCACAUUCACCUUUGACCUGUCAUAAGGAAGUAUAGCACACAUGCCCUCUCACGGCUAACGAGCGUGUCAUGAUUUCACGGUAGGAGCCAUGCGUUUAUCUGUUUAAGCCACACAUAAGCCUCCGCCUUCAUCUUCUUCUUAGGGAAUCUCUUGUGACGGUUUGUUGCCUUAUCCCAGACCCACACAACCGUACAGUCUACACCAUAGAGCGUGUGCCUCAACUCUCUAUAUGUAGGCCUGCGAAUGAAUUGGUCCAAUGGCUCCACAGGAACAUUUGGUGCACCUAAAAAGUCGCAUAUAACUGUGGCUGAAAAAUCUAUCAAACGUCCACAAUUUGGCACCAGCUUCUCAGUGUCCUGUGGGUCAAACCCUGCAUAGAAUUCUCAGACUAGGUUGAGAUUGAUGUCCCCUGUGUUCUUAAAAACAUAGCUUAACCCCAAAUCCUGGAUGCCUCUCCAAAUUUCCUGACAUUUCGCUUUCAGGCUACGUUCCUGAAUGGCUGCUUCCGGAUGGACAUGUUUAGGCCUAUAGCGCCUGUACUAAUCAUUUGUAUGUGGGGGUAUGUUGUUUAUGCCAAAAUCCUGUUGGCCUUGGGGUUGUGGACGCAUGGAAGCUAUAGCUGCCACGACUUGUGAUCCACUCAGACUAGAGGCAGCUUCUCCCCCUUUUCUUUUAUUUGGAGGAGGUGCGGAGGUUGCCUUUGCUUUAGCUGGGGCAGUUGAAGUGGCUUUUCCUUUGCCUGUGUCUUUUCUGUGAGGCAUCUUCAAUCCUAUAUAAAUAAGCAAUAGUCAGAUAAAAUUGACGUGACGACCUGGCCAGUUGUCUCAUGAGUUACCACUUUGUUUCCCCCAUUUCUGCUUCUUUAUGCUUCGUUAUCUGUGUUUUGUGGUAUCGGGUUGGUCAUAUCGAAUUUGGAAUGAUUUUGGUAAGGUUGGAGACACUUAGUCUCUUAUAAGAAAGCUUAAGUUGGAAAAGUCAACUGGAUGUUGACUUAUGUGUUAAAGGGCUCGGAAGUGAAUUCCGAUGAUCCGGUUAGCUUUGGGAUGUGAUUUGUGACUUAAGAGUGUGAUCAGAAUGAGUUUUGGAGGUUCGGAGUAGAUUUAGGCUUGAAUUGUCAAAGUUGAUAUUUUGGCAAUUUUCGGUCGAGAGGCGAGAUUUUGAUAUAGGGGUCGGAAUGGAAUUCCGAGAGUUGUAGUAGCUCUGUUGUGUCAUUUGGGAUGUGUGUGCAAAAUUUCAGGUCAUUCGGACAUGAUUUGGUUGGGUUUUUGAUCAAAAGCGUAAUUUAGAAGAUUUUGGAUUUUUUAGUCUUGAAUCCGAUGUGAAUUUGGUGUUUCGAUAUUGUUUUGAGCGUUUUGAAGGUGGGAACAAGUUUGAAUGAGGUUAUGGAUAUGUUGGCAUGUUUGGUUGAGGUCACGGGGCCUCGAGUGAGGUUUCGGGUGGUCAAUCGGACCAUUUCAUGAAGUUUAAAAUUGCAGAAAUCUGUUGCUCAGUGUUGCAGACAAUUGCUCUUCGCGUUCGCGGGAGGGGAGCCGCGAUCCCGAAGGGUUAGCUGGAGAAGGCUGAGACUUUGGCCUUCGCAUUCGCGAUGGAGUCUUCGCGUUCGCAAAGGAGUGGGAAACGAUGCACCGCGUUCGUGAGGUCUACUCCGUGUUCGCAUAGAAAGAAUUGGCCAGCUGGGUUUUGAGAUAUUUUGUUUAUCGCGUUCACGGGCAAGGGAGCGCGUUCGCGAAGGUCUGUCUGGGUAAAGCAUCGCAUUCACGAUGGGGUGGUCGUGAUCGCGAAGAAGAAUUUUGGUCAACGGAAUUUUUGUGCUUCGCGAACGCGAGGCUUUGACCGUGUUCGCGAUGAAGGAAAUUUAUGCAUGGACAGAAUGUUUAAGUACUCGUCUUGUCCGCGAUUUUGGGGUUUAUUUCUUCCAUUGUUGGUCGUUUUUGGAGCUUUUUGAAGGGGAUUGAAGAGGGAUUCAAGGGGAAUCACUUGGAGGUAAGAUUCUUGGACUUAAAACUCGAUUCUAAUGUGAAUUCCACCUAAAUAAUCAUGGAAAAUAAGCCAAAAAUUGAAGAACUAGGGCUUGGAAAUUUAGACCUUUGAUUGAGGAUUUGAAGGACCAUUUGAGGUUGGAUUUCAGGACUUUUGAUAUGUAUGAACUCGUGGGGAGAUAAGGAAUCUAUUGAUGUAAAAAUUAUUGAAUUUCNNNNNNNNNNNNNAAUAGAAAAUGUCGGCUGGCUUUGUCUUCACGAGAGGCGCCAUCACAACUGAGUCCGGGUUUAGGGUCGUGACAAUUGCAUUACACACAUAAUCUUGCCCAACUUUCCGAGGUUACUCAGACUUCACCUCGUAUUUUCUUAAUAUUAGAAUCAAACAACAACACAUGGGCUACCCGCAAACCACUCCACACUUAAGAUUUUAAUGUGGUACAUGAUUACAUAACACUAGUCUAUUAAUCCCGGAGACUCAAGCUCCAAUAGGGACAAGGAAUGCCAUUGAGGCAUUAUAUCAAACACUUAACAAGCUCCAUGGGAGUUCUUAUGGAAAUGAGGGAUUGCCUCAUCCUCCCAAAUCAGCUUGGGGGUUCCGUACUACCACAUAUUUUCACAAUCGCAGAACCAUUCCUAUGGGGUCCAUGGGGUUGGGGCACACAAACACAAUACUAUAAUGAAGAACAACCACCAACUUUUGUGUGUAAUUGUAUACCUGUACCCAACUUGAAAUUGCAAGGAAAAGAGAUAAAAAUCAUACCUUUGAAGCUUUUGAGAGGAGGAAGCUGCUAGAGAAUUACUGAUGAGCAAAACUAAGCCUGACUUCAAUGGGGAUGGGAGAGACACGAUAGAAAUCUACUGGUGAGUGUGUGGGUGAGCAGAAUUGUGCAGUGUGUGAGUUAAGAGCAAAGAGGGUGCUAUGUGUGCUUGAGAGUUUUCUUGUUUUUGACCUUGAUGUGUGUUUGGGGUAAGUUAGGUUAGGGUUUUUGUAUUUUGGUCAAUGUUUAGGGCGUGUAGGUGAGGGAGUUCGACUAAAAUAAGGGACAAAAAAUUAAACUGGGCCGAAAAAAACUUGCCUGCAUUACCCAAGUGUCGUCAGCCGUAACGCAAGCCUUACCUGGCUUUACCUAGGCGUCACCAGCCUAAUGCCUGGUGGACCUGGCGUUAGCCAGGCGUUGCCAGCCCCGGCACCUAGUGUACGUUAGGUGACGCUUAAAACCUGUUCGACUUGCCCAAACUCACCUGCAAACUUGUUAGUACCUAAAAACAAAAAGAAAAAUUCUAACUACACGAAAAAUCAACUACAAAUUGGGUUGCCUCCCAACGAGCACCUUAGUUAAUGUCAUGGCAUGACGAAUACAACAGUCCAAUGGAUUGCCUCCCAUGAAGUGCCUAAUUUAACGUCACGACACGAUGUAGGUAAGCGCAUUUAACGGAUGCUCAACAUCGAUGGCUCGAUCAAAUGAGUCACUGACACUACCUUUGCUUCAUCCAUGCCUAUAUAAUGUUUUUAUCUGUGCCCAUUGACUCUGAACUUGUGAGAGUCAUUUUUUGCAGCAAUCUCUACGGCACCAAUGGUAUGAAUUUCAACCACACGAAAUGGUCCCGACCAUCUUGACUUUAAUUUGCCUAGAAAUAACCUCAGUCUUGAAUUGUAUAGUAAUACCUAUCUCCGGGUUUAAAACUCCACUCAAUAAUAUUUUUGUCAUGUAUCAUAUUUAGUCUCUCCUUUUAUAAUCUUGUGCUCUCAAAAGCAUGGUAUCGAAACUCAUCGAGCUCGUGCAACUCAGUGACUCUACUCGUACCCACAACUUCUAUAUCGAGAUUCAACUGCCUCAAUGACCACAAAGCUUUAUGCUCCAACUCCACCGGUAAGUGACACGCUUUCCCAAACACCAAUUUGUACGACAACAUGCCGAUCGAUGUUUUGAAAGCGGAUCGAUAGGCCCAUAGUGCAUCAUCUAACUUUCUCGCCCAAUCUGUUCUAGUAGCAUUCACAGUCUUUGUCAACACACUCUUUAUCUCUCUGUUCGAAACCUCCACUUGCCCACUCGUUUGUGGAUGAUAUGGGGUGGCAACCUUAUGGAGUACAUCAUACUUUUCUAACAAAUUCGUGAUGGCUCGAUUACAAAAGUGAGUGCCUCUAUUAUUGAUUAUUGCCCUUGGAGUGCCAAAUCGGGUGAAUAUGUUCUUUCUCAAAAAAACAAUUACCCCUUUGCAUCAUUUGUAGGGAGCACUGCAGCCUCUACCCAUUUGGAGACGUAGUCCACAGCGACGAGUAUGUACUUUUUUCCAUAUGAACUGACGAAAGUCCCUAUGAAAUCAAUUCCCCAUACAUCAAACACUUUUACCUCCUGAAUUAGGUUCAUGGGCAUCUCAUGUCGGCGAGAAAUAUUCCCGGUUUGUUGGCAUUCAUCACAACCCUUUAUCCAUAAGUGUGCAUCAUUGAACAAUGUUGGCUAUUAGAAGCCUGACUCCAAGACUUUCGCAGCUAUCCUUAGUCCCCCAAAAUGGCCACCAUAUGGUGACGCGUGACACGCCUGCAAAAUAGAAGAUUGGUCUAUCUCAGAGAUACAUUUACGGAUCAUGUUAUUAACACAAAUCUUGAAUAGAUAAGGCUCAUCCCAAUAAUACAUGCGACAAUCACGAAAGAACCUUUUCUUUUGGAUAGAGGAAAGGUCAUAAAGAACAAUACCUCUCGCCAGGUAGUUUGCAAUGUCAGCAUACCAUGGCGCUUCCUCAAGACUCGUGGCUAAUAAUUGUUCAUCCGGGAAAGUUUCCACAAUCUCCUCCACCUCAACCUUCUUCUCAGCUCCUUCCAGCCUAGACAAGUGAUCAACUACUUGAUUCUCCGUUCCCUUUCGGUCACGGAUUUCCAAGUCAAAUUCUUGCAGCAGUAGCACCCAUCGAAUCAUAUGUGGCUUUGACUGCUUCUUCUCGAUUAAGUACCUGAGAGCAGCAUGGUCAGUAUAAACAAUUACCUUCGAGGCUAUCACGUAUGACCUUAAUUUGUCAAAUGCGAACUCCACUACUAGCAUCUCAUUCUCGGUCACUGUGUAAUUUAGCUGGGCACAACUCAGAGUUCUACUUGCGUAGUAUAUUGGAUGUAUGACUUUGUCUUUUCGUUGCCCAAGAACUACUCCCACAGCAUAGUCACUCGCAUCACACAUCAGCUCAAAUGGUUGCUCAUAGUUAGGGGAAACUAUGAUAGGUGUUGUUACCAGUAUCUUCUUCAAUUCCUCAAAUGCUACCCUGCAGUCAUCAGCAAACACAAAAGGGUGAUCUUUUUCAAGCAAUUUACACAAGGGGUUAGCAAUUUUGGAAAAAUCUUUUAUAAAUCUCCUAUAUAAACCGGCAUGCCCAAGGAAACUUCUAAUUGCUUUGACAGAAGUGGGUAAUGGAAGCUUUUGAUCACAUCAACCUUUGCAUGAUCUACCUCAAUACCUUUACUUGACACUAGGUGCCCUAAGACUAUACCUUUCUGUCCUAUGAAAUGGCACUUUUCCUAGUUGAGUACCAGAUUCGGCUCGAUACAUCUCUUCAAUACUCUUCUCAAGUUCAUAAGGCAAUCAUCGAAUGAGUUCCCCACCACUGAGAAGUCAUCCAUGAAAACCUCCAUUAUUUCCCCUACCAUAUCCGUGAAGAUGGCCAUUAUACACCUUUGGAAUGUGGGGAGGUGCGUUGCAUAGGCCAAACGACAUUUUCCAAAAGGCAUAGAUUCCAUAAGGGCAGGUGAACGAUGUUUUCUCUCUGUCCUGUGGGGCAGUAGAGAUAUGAUUAUACCCCGAGUACCCAUCCAAAAAGCAGAAGUGGGACCUCCUUGCCAAUCUAUCUAGCAUAUGAUCAAUGAAUGGCUGUGGGAAAUGGUCUUUUCGGGUAGUCUAGUUCAACUUUUUGUAAUCCAUACAGAUUCGCCAAACUGGGACUGUUAGUGUUAAGAUCAAUUUGUUCUUCUCAUUUUUCACUACCGUCAUACUGCCCUUUUUUGGCACACACUAAACUGGGCUGACCUAGUUGCUGUCAGAUAUAGGAAAUAUGAUUCCUGCAUCUAACCACUUAAUCACUUCUUUCUUCACCACUUCUUUCAUGUUGGGGUUCAGCCUUCUAUGAUGUUCUAUAGAAGGUUUGUGACUAUUUUCAAGUAGAAUUUUAUGCAUACAAAAUGCCGGUCAGAUACCCUUAAUAUCUACAAUGGUCCAACCAAUUGCAGUCUUGCACUCUGUCAGUACCUGCAAAAGCUGUUCUACCUGCACAUCUAACAAACUAGAUGACAUAAUAACAAGUAAAUUUAAGUUAGGUCCUAAGAAAGCAUACCUGAGAUAAGGUGGCAGUUGCUUCAGUUCAAACUUUGGCGUCUCUUCUAUCGAUGGCUUAGCUGGAGGAGUUUUCCUUUCCUCUAAGUGCAAAGGUUCAAAUUUGAGCUCUCUUCUCCAAAAACCUUGGCCUUCAAGAUUAAGUACCCACUCCACCAAGUCCUCUCCAUUUGCUUCAUCUAAGUUCAUAAGAUAGGCUGCUAGAGGGUCUUUAGUGUUCAAUGUCUCAUUUUCCUCCUCCAAAAUUACAUCCACGACAUCUAUUAAAGAUCAAUUAGCAAAUUCACUUGGUCGCCGCAUAGAUUUUUGCACGUUGAAUGUUAUCUCUUCAUCAUUUAAUCUCAUUUUGAGAUCUCCAGUUUCACAACCAAUUAAAGCUCUCCCAGUGGCCAAGAAUGGUCUUCCCAAAAUUAUGGGAAUUUCCUCGUCAAACUGACAGUCAAGAAUGACAAAAUCUGCUGGGAACACUAACUUCCCAACCUGUACUAAUACAUCAUCAAGAAUUCCAGAGGGCUUCUUCACUGUCCGGUCAGCUAGCUGUAGUAACAUGGACGUGGGUCUAGCUCUUCCAAUGCCUAACCUUUUGUAGAUAGCUAGAGGCGUCAGGUUUAUGCUUGCCCCCAAAUCACAAAGUGCCUUAGCAAAUGCAUAGUUGCCUAUUGUGCAUUGAAUUGUGAAAGUCCCUGGGUCAGAUGGCUUCUCAGCUAUGGGUCUCGUCACAACAACAUUGCAAGUCUGAGUCAGUGUAACCGUGGCCAAGUCUUGAAAGUCGAACUUACGAGACAUCAAGUCCUUCAUCAUUUUUGCGUAACCAGGCAUCUCCGUUAAGACGUCGAACAAUGGAAUGUUUGUUGAUACCCAAUUUUUCCUCAUAUGUUUUUAAUACAUAUAUAUACUAUCAAAAUAACACAUAUGCAGUUAUAAGCAUGCAUAAGAAUUUUUUAUAAUUUUUCUAUAAUUUUAAAAGCUCCAAAUCAAUUUAUUUCUUCUCUUUUUUAUUUAUAAAAUAUCCAAUAAUUAUCCUUCAUAUCCUUUUGGGGUGAUUUAGCCAUUUAAAUUCAUUAUUUAUGACAACAUAGUGUUUAAAUAUUUUUAGUGCAUUUUCUAUAAUUGCAUUUACGUUUUUAGGCUAAAUUAUGCAUCUUUGCAAUAAUAGCCCAUAUUAAUGCAUAAUUAUAUUAUUGAUGCAUAAAAUGGACUUUUAUAUUUUUAAAAUAUUAAAUAACUAUUUUAAAUCAUUUUACUACAUGAAAUAUUUUUUGGAACUCAUUUAUUAUUUUUUAUGAAUUAUGUAGUUAUUAAAAGUGGCUAUUUAAAAUUUGGCCUAUUUUUAUUUCAAUUUUGGUCCUAAUUCAACCCAACACCAGCCCAAUUUCAAUUUAAACUUACCCAUCCCAAACCUUAAUACCCGAUUCGGCCCCAAACCAUAUUAAUCUCGGUCGUUGAUCAUAGAGAUCAACGACCACAAUCAGCCCCUUCCUUUUUUAGUCCCAAACGACCCCCCCAAACCCUUUCAUUUCCCACUAUCCGCCGCCCUGAAAUCCCUCUUCUCUCUCAAAUUCUCUCAAACCUAACCCUAAUCGGACCUCACCGUCACUCAUCUAUGGCUAUCUAUGGUGGUUCCUCACCACCCCCAGGCCUCUAAUAGCCUCUCUUGUACUAAUAUCACCAUCUUUAGGGUCCUCAAGGGACUAAGGUUAGUUUGCUUGCAUCUAUGGCCAUUUCUCGCCUGUUUUAAGCUGUCCUAGUUUGAUUCCAAGUGAGAUAUUCCUAUAUCUAUGGGUUUAUAGGUUUAAUUCUUCAUCUCUGUGAUUGUACUUCUCGAAACCCUAAUUUCUCUCUUCUGAACCUCUCAGAUCUGUAUAGAUCUGAGAUGGUUUAGACCUAUUUUAUAUGAGUUUUACAAGAGCCUUUUGGUUUUUACAAAAUCGUGUGAUUUUCGAAUGAUUUUUCAUUUUUCUAAACUAGGGUUUUCGGAAUUUUCAUUUCCAAAAUGUUUGAUGAUUUUUGAGUGUUUGAUCUUUUGCUUCUUAUGUGUUUUGACUAAUUUUGUAAGUUUUAUACAACCUUAACUCGUUUAUACUAAAAGCCCUAAUUUUUGACAUUCUUUGUUUGGUUUCUGAGUACUGGUGUAUUGACUGUGUUCUUGCCUUGGUUCUUGUGAUUUCUCUUUAGCCAUUUGAAUGUCUCGUGGUUUUCUUAUCCUAAUAUGUCUCUACUGAGUUUCUUAAUUCAACUCUUUUACUGAUUCUAUAUGUUUGUGUUCAUUCUGACUAUUCAUGUUAAGACCUAUAUCUUUCUCCUUAAAUCAGUGUCGUUUUCUUGAUUUACCAAUUUGUUUCGUGUCGAAUCCUGACUAUUCAUUUCUUACCUUAUUUUGUCUGCGAAACUUGCUGACUCUUUACGUGAUUUUCUCUUUGAUUGAACCGUUGAUUAUUCUGAAGUUCUUAUUUCCUGGUUUGAUUUGAACUCUUUUCCUUAACAAACCUUUUGAUUCUUACAUCUCUACUCGGUUUGAUUGAACUUCGUGCCUUAAUCAGUUUUCCCUUGCCUUAUUUAUUAUUUUGCUGAUUCUUACUGAUUGUUUCCUUAACUGAAACUAUUGUUCAUUCACCCCUAAUUACCUACUCUGUACUUAAGUCGUACUCGAUUUCCUUCCUUAAGCAUCUGUCCUGCAUUUACCAUUGAUUAAUUAUCCCUUGAUUAAAGGGAAGACUUACUGAUUUUACAUGUGAUUGAUUCCAUGAAUUUCUCUAAUUGCUACUUAAUUUAUCCCUUACCUUAUUUUGUUAAGCUUUUGAUUACUCUAUAAACUCCCUCUUAUUUUAACUUCUGGACAACGAACAUAGUUCAAAACUACUACUUUUACACCCUAAAAAGGCUCUCUUUCUGCUCUCUUUGCUACUUGUGAUCCCUGAUAUUCUAGCCGGCUGCAACCCAAGGCUGGAAACAACACAAUACCUUGCUCACAAUCUUGUGUUUUCUUUCUUUAACUAGGUAUGCCUAUGAUUAAUUUUUAAGAAUCAAAACCUAUGUGUUUACUUACUGCUUUAGUUCAUAUGGCCUGAGUUUAUUCUUGCUUUAGUCCACUCUGCUUGUUUGUUAUUUUGUUUGACAUGUCUGCAUAUGUAAUUUCCCUAUUUAACUGACUUCUAUUUAUAUAGCACGCUUAGACUCUGCCUUUGUGUAAUUAGCAUUCCCUCACCUGUCUUUGCAUGUUCUGCCUCACUCCUGCUAAGUUAAUUACUCUCCCUAGAAUGGCUUCAACAUGUUUCUAUUGUGAUCUUUGCUGCAUAACCUGCAUUCUACCUACUAGUUCUAUAGAACUCCCUCAAAACUCUAUGUAUCCUAUUGUCUGUAUGCUUCAUUAAGGUGUACUCUCUAUGUUCCCAAUCCCCCUUCCCUUUGUGUGAAAGCUGCUUGCCAAAGUUACUUCCUAAAGCUUGUUUAGUCUCUAUCUUGUGUUUCGAUUACAAAAUUGCUUCUUCAUACUUUCUCUCAAACUGGUUUAUCACUAAUGGUUUUCAGAAGUUCUUUUCAGUCCUAAAACCUUUCUGUUAAACUCUUUCAAACCACUAUGCACUUUCACUUACUCUUAGAAUACUAGGUCACGCCCCUCUAAUAUGUGUACUGCCUUGAGAUCCUUGAGAUCUCUCUAAACUCUGGCAUGUCAGGGCUGGCCUUUCCACACUGCACCUAAAUCAAUUAUUAUUUGAGAAAGGUCUAGGUGUGAGCACUGCCCGAGAUCCUUGAGGUCCUUAGAGAACUCUAACACACCUAGACAUGGAAUUGGCUUUGGAACUUUGGUAUUUGAGAUUACUGGAGGCUUGGAAGUCAUUUGUGGCCUACUUCAGGCUCCCUAUAGAUUAAUUUCUAUUUUAUUUAUGUAAUUUUUUCAUUCAAUUCAUUGGUAUGUAAUAAUUUUUGUAAACAAACAGUGGGGUGAUUAGUGAAAAAGGGAGGGUAGUUAUAUAUUAUGGGUAAAAUUGGGUAGAUACCAUGCCUAUAGGAUCUAUGUUGAUUCAAAUGUGUUUGAUAUGUUUGCUUUACUUCCACAUAGUUAGAAACCAUGCCUAUAGGGUCUAAACUGGCUUUAAUAAUAGAGAUCCUGCCUAUAGGGUUAAAAUCAACUCUAUAGAAAUCAUGCAUAUAGAGGUUUCACUUUGGUUAAAUGAAUGUUGUUUGUUUUACCCUGCUUGAUUAGAAAUCGUGCCCAUAAGACUUAAAACAGUUCAGUUAGAAAAGUCGGUGUAAUUCAUGUUUAUAUAUUCUGAAUUGGUUUAGUUAACUAGUCUUUCCGUUUCUUUAACAAGUCUUCAACGCUGCUUUAAGUAACAUUGCUAGAAAUCAUGCCUAUAGGAUCCAAAUUGCCGUUUAAAAUCAUUUUACUAUUUUACUGCAUUCCUAAUCAAUAUAGAUAUCAUUAUCAUAGGACAUCACUGUUAUGCGCCUAAGCAAGCCUGUAGGGCGGUUAAAAUUCUGCAAACUAUAAAUCUGCACCUUGUUAUUUGAGAUUGCCCACACUCAAUAGGUUUAAAAGGAUCAGUAGGCAAGUAAGAUUAAGCUCUUUGACACUUUGGUCCUAAUUCCAUACUACAUAAUCUCCGCUCACCUAGAUAUCAUGUUCUAAGAUUUUCUCUUAAAUACUUGAAACUGUUGUUUGAGACGUGCACUUACUUGUUAUGUUUGUGGAGGUGAAUGCGAGCCUUUAAUUGUUCUCUUUAAAUGCAGUCCUAAUUGUUUUUGAUUGACGCCUAGACUUUUAUCCUUUAAAAAACCUUAGGAUGGUCUAGAACUACCUAAAUUAGAGGUCCUAAAUACCUCCAGGGCCACGAGAAAGGGACGAGUAGUGCACACAUAGGAUANNNNNNNNNNNNNNNNNNNNNNNNNNNNNNNNNNNNNNNNNNNNNNNNNNNNNNNNNNNNNNNNNNNNNNNNNNNNNNNNNNNNNNNNNNNNNNNNNNNNNNNNNNNNNNNNNNNNNNNNNNNNNNNNNNNNNNNNNNNNNNNNNNNNNNNNNNNNNNNNNNNNNNNNNNNNNNNNNNNNNNNNNNNNNNNNNNNNNNNNNNNNNNNNNNNNNNNNNNNNNNNNNNNNNNNNNNNNNNNNNNNNNNNNNNNNNNNNNNNNNNNNNNNNNNNNNNNNNNNNNNNNNNNNNNNNNNNNNNNNNNNNNNNNNNNNNNNNNNNNNNNNNNNNNNNNNNNNNNNNNNNNNNNNNNNNNNNNNNNNNNNNNNNNNNNNNNNNNNNNNNNNNNNNNNNNNNNNNNNNNNNNNNNNNNNNNNNNNNNNNNNNNNNNNNNNNNNNNNNNNNNNNNNNNNNNNNNNNNNNNNNNNNNNNNNNNNNNNNNNNNNNNNNNNNNNNNNNNNNNNNNNNNNNNNNNNNNNNNNNNNNNNNNNNNNNNNNNNNNNNNNNNNNNNNNNNNNNNNNNNNNNNNNNNNNNNNNNNNNNNNNNNNNNNNNNNNNNNNNNNNNNNNNNNNNNNNNNNNNNNNNNNNNNNNNNNNNNNNNNNNNNNNNNNNNNNNNNNNNNNNNNNNNNNNNNNNNNNNNNNNNNNNNNNNNNNNNNNNNNNNNNNNNNNNNNNNNNNNNNNNNNNNNNNNNNNNNNNNNNNNNNNNNNNNNNNNNNNNNNNNNNNNNNNNNNNNNNNNNNNNNNNNNNNNNNNNNNNNNNNNNNNNNNNGAGUGUUUGCGCUCUUCCUAUAUAUCACCCUUUAAAUUCGGAAAGGCGUAUUUGCGGUAAAACUAGCCGAUCAGCGGUGCAUUCGACGGUUCCGUGACUUUUACCCUCAAGUUGUCCACUUGAGGGUCCCAGACUAGACCUAUAUAACAACCUUACUCUAAUUAAAUUGUACAUGCAUCAUGGUCAAACCUUGUCAGGUUAAUAUGUUGUCCACAUAAUAACCCUUUAAGACAAGCCCCGUCCAAAAGUUCAUCGGAUUUAUCAUAAUCCCAACGGACGUAACCACGAUUAUGUGCAUUAAUUUGGAGAAAUAAGUGCCAAUAUGCUAAUUAUUAUUGUACAAAUAGACGAAUCUGGAGGGGAAAUGGCCUAACUCUCUUUGUUUUACAGAAAAUGAGGCACGAGGUCCCCAGAUUCGAUAUGGUUAGCACACCCUCACUCUUGCUAGAUUAGUGGAGGGAUCUUCCUUCAUGUGACCAAAACCAUGUGAAAUGAGUCUUAGGAAACUUGCCUUCUUUGAUGGAACUUCAGCUCAACAAAAUGUUGAUCGAGGCUGCAACUAUGUUUUGGGACAAGGAAAGGGCUGUGUUCCAUUUUGGGAACAUAGAAAUGACACCCCUUCUAGAAGAAAUAGGAGGAUUUGCCGGGUUACCUUGGGAUAGUCCUAAUCUGUUGGCACCUGAAAAUCGCACUAUUAGGGGAUUUCUGAAAAUGGUGGGGCUGAAGAAGAAUGACAAUUUUGAAAUGCCUAAAGGACUCCUACAUACCUUUUGAGUUCCUUUAUGAAAGAUACGGUCACAACAGCUCUUACCGUCUUUUUGACGAUGAGUUCUCAAUCACUUCUUUAGGUUGGAUUCAUCGUAAGGUCUUCGUGUUUAUCAUGUGUUUCUUGGGCAUGUUGAUAUUCCCAAUCCAAGGGGAUAGGAUCCAUACUAGGUUAGCCAUGGUGACCAAAACUCUGAUGGACGGGAUCGAAGGGGAGACAUAUACUAUCAUUCCUAUGAUCGUUGCAGACAUGUACUGGGUGGAGCGAUGUCAGAAGGGGUUUAGGUUCUUCGAGGGUUGGAAGUUGCUGCUACAAGUCUGGUUGUUAGAACAUCUCCAAAAGGGACAAUACCAUCAAGAAUUAUUGCAAAGGUCGUGGAAUGAUCAUAUAGCCUUCCAUCAUCCCAAAAGAAUGAAUUAUAUUCUAGACAUGUUUGUUCAGCCAGAGGACGCUGCAGGAUGGGUACAACUUUUUGUAAAUUUGACUGAGGAUCAAGUCCAGUGGAUGUUCGAGUGGUUACCUACCGAUGAAUUCAUCAUUAGAUCCAGGGAUUUUCUGCACUUGGUGUUGAUCGGGUUGAUGGGCAUAUACCCUUACGCUCCUCUUAGGGUUAUGAGACAAGUAGUCAGGAGACAAAUCAUACAACGAGUCGCCAAGAUAUGUCACUUCAGAGCUAAUUUCCAGGGUGACGCCAUCCCGUAUAAGAAUGAAGCGCAACACAUGUGGACCUUGAAGAUCAUUGUGGAGAAGGAUACUAUUGAGCCAGACCGAUAUCACGCAGGCCACUCAUACCUUUACCCUUCGUGGCUGGAGGACAACAUAAUCGGGGUCGUUAAGCCAAGGGCUGGGGACAGAAAAUAGGGUUAUAGACGAGGUUGCUGAAGUAGAGAUGAAGUACAACAAGCUGCGGAAAGGAGUUCGAGAGUCUGAAGCCGAGCAUAUGGCACAGCAUAAGGCUGACAUGGAGAUGAUUAACGAAUGGAAAGAGGGAGUUGUUAAAUCCAGUGAGAGGAUGGAAUAUCUGGAGUACAGUCUAAUGAAGUUAGAAGGGAAGAUGAGAAAAAGGGUCACCGAUUGUCAGAACGCCGAAGGAAAUGAAGGAGGGCACCUGGCAAAGGCAUUCCUGCUGCUGAACCUGCGGGAGAUGGGAGAAUUGAUCGAUAAGAGCAUCCAGUCUGGAGAGGGUCCUUCUGGGACCAAGUAGAUUAUAUUUAUUUGCUUUCCUUUCAAAUUUAAUAAGUCCAAGAGCCAUUAGUGACAUUAUCUUAUUUAGUUUCGUUUUGGUUCGUUUACUUUUACUUUAAUGAAAUAAGCAAUUAUUGGCACUAAAUUUCUCCAAAUUUAUUUGUCACUAUGCCUACCUCGGGCACAACGAGGCUCCCAGUGAGCACGUGAUUUUUUCCCUAUAUGAAUUACUCCCAUAAUCUCAAAACAAAAUAAUUUCUUUUCAUUAUUUCCAAUUUUAUGGAUUUUUGCGGCAUUUUAUGUUAAAUGUUUGCAUUCGUCUGUGCAUAUUUAUUUUAUUUAAUUAAUGAAAAAUACAAAAAAAAAAAUAUGUUGCAUUUGUAUUUAGCAUUUAAUUUUACAUUUUAGGAUUAAUUGAAAAAUUAGUUGUUUUAUAAAAACGGAAAAAUCACAAAAAAAAAUAGUUUAUUUUGCACUUUUAAUUUUAAUUUUGAAUUUUGGUAGUUUUUCCUUUAAGUUGGUUUUUUUUAAUUAUUUGUGGUAAGUAUUAUUUAGAGUUAAUUAAUGUAAUAGGAUAAUUUGAUUAGUGAUUAAUGUAGGUUUAUUUUUAAUUUUAAUUCAAAAGAAACUAAAAGAAAAUUGAAAAAGAAAAGAAAACAAAAGAAGGGGAAAAUUUGGACUUAGAGCCGAUUUGGGCCUCAGAUUUGCUGAGCCCAAACCUUUCUUCUUCUUUUAAAAAUUUUCGCCAGCCCAGUUUCUUCACUCAGUCCGGAACCGCGCCCCAACCCACACCCGCCCGUCUUCCGAAACCCGACCCGUUCCCAAACGCUAACAAACAAAAGAGCCCCAGAACCCUAAUCUCCAAGACCCAUCAGCGCAACCACUGUUCUUCUUCUCCAAACAACCAAAUCCAAGCCCCAAAUUUAGUCCAAAUUCGGGCGAGUGAAUCCCAAAUCCUUAACCUACGCGUCACUCCUUCUCUCAUCUUGCCGUUGCUAACGGUUUCUGAUGCGAGAUUCCCCUCCUCUCUCACUCGCUCGAAUUCAUGUUGUAUCAUACGAUUGGAAGGUUCUAGAGACGAGAUGUUGGAUGAGUGUGAGGCGUUGUAUUGAUUUCACUCAAUCCGAUCCCCACAUUCAUCAAGGAUUCGUCUUUAAAAGAAGCCUUAUCCGAUUUUGUGAAGGGGGGAAUUUUUCGAGAGUUCUUGAGUUUUUGGGGUGAGAUUGCCCGAGAUUUUUCUUUUCAACCCUCUUCAGAAAAAGAAAAGAAUAUAUAUAUAUAUAUAUAUAUAUAUAUAUAUAUAUAUAUAUAUAUNNNNNNNNNNNNNNNNNNNNNNNNNNNNNNNNNNNNNNNNNNNNNNNNNNNNNNNNNNNNNNNNNNNNNNNNNNNNNNNNNNNNNNNNNNNNNNNNNNNNNNNNNNNNNNNNNNNNNNNNNNNNNNNNNNNNNNNNNNNNNNNNNNNNNNNNNNNNNNNNNNNNNNNNNNNNNNNNNNNNNNNNNNNNNNNNNNNNNNNNNNNNNNNNNNNNNNNNNNNNNNNNNNNNNNNNNNNNNNNNNNNNNNNNNNNNNNNNNNNUUUUUGGUCCUCAAUAAUGGAGUUUGAUUAAAGUUUGAGUCGGAAUUUGUGUUUAAGUUCUAAAUCUCGGUACCAUUUCACAUUUCUGUCUGAGCUUUUGAUCUCUACUCGCUUCUGUUGCUAAUUGCUGGUGUUAGCUAUUGGAUUUCACUUGUAUUCAACGUUCGAGCAAAGUUAAUCGGAAGUGUUUAUUGAUUCUAGGUUCAUUUCUUCUUCAUUUUUAUUUGUUUUUUCGUGAUUCUGCAUCGUGUGCUCAUGUUCUGUUAUGUUUUUAGUCUAAGACUACCUGAAAGUCAGUGUUUGUUGUCCAGAUUAAAGGCUGAGUUCUGUUGGACUUGAUUCAGGUCUGUUUCUGUUUUUGUGUUUAUUCUAUAUUGAAAGAGUGAUUGUAUGCACUGAUAUAAUGGCUGCAGUUGUAUAAAUUCACCCACUCGUUUGUCAAAUUUGAGCAUCGAAACAAAUUCAUGAAACCUUAAGGGUGGAAGCCUUUUUGUUUGAUCAUUUCUGCUGGUUUAGCUGCAGUUUGAGUGCUAAGUGAUUGUUGGGCUUGGUUCACUUGUGAAUUAGUGGAUUGACACGCAUUUAACUUCAUCUAUAAGGCCACAGAGAUUAAUGUUCACGUUUCCAGCAGUCAUUUCUGUCCUUAGGCUUCUUGAACAGAAUCAGACAUGAAAAUUGUGAAGUAUUAUGGCUGCCUAGUAGCCAUCAAAGUUGGUAUAUGUAGGAAUGAGUUUUGGAAAAGAAUUCUUGUUUGUGUGUGGAGUUUAAACUUGCAAUAAGCCAUGAGACUCCUUCUAAUCACUGUCCAUUUGAUGGUCAAUUAGUUCGGCAGCUUAGGGAUAUUCAUUAAACUUCAAUUUGUUUGGUUUUCACUUGUAUGGUUGGGGUGUAAUUAGCUGCAUAUCAUCUGAGCAAGUCGUCAAUAAGCGGCGUGUUCAUGUGUUCGUAUCUUAAGUAUUCUGGACUGUAUCUGUUGGUUUUUGUUCGAAUUCGAUCAUUGUUGGCUACGCAAUCUCGUCUGUUGUAGAUGCUGGAGUAUUUUGGCCUCUGAAAUCUCUUGAGCCAGGUAGUUUGAGCUAUGAGGGGCACUAUGUGGUCAUUAUUUUGCUGAUUUUGUGUAACUAGGCCUGCCAGUUCUUCUUCACCUCUAUUUGGUCAACUUCUUGUUUGUUUCGCUGUUGUUCGAAAUGUGUUUGCAGUUUAAAUGACUAAUGUAGGAGAUUUACUGCUAUGAAAUCUGCAUAUACGCAUUCAUUUCAAUACUCUGCCAAAGGAAUUGUGAACCAUUAUCGUGCUUUCUCUGAGUUUGUUGCGAGUUUUGUAACUCCUUUGCUAGUGUAAGUUCACAGCCAGUGUUAAGAACCUUGUGUGCUAUUUUAUGUCAUCUAUUAGAGUUAUCCGUUGGUUUAAUUAGGAUAAAAAUCAGUCCAAGUUCGUGAUAGUUUCAGCUCGACUGAAUUUUUUGUUUAGUUGAAUUUAUUCAAUUGCCGUUUUAUUUCUUUCCGAUAAAUUUUGUUCCUGAAACACAUUAACAUCAUCGAUGAGGUUGUAAUUUGAUUCGAUCUUCAGAAUUUUUUUUUCUCUUUGAUGAAUGAUUCAACCUGGGUUUGCUACACAUGAACUGAAGUCUUGAACAAUUCGUUUCAUUUAUCUGUGUCGGAAGAACUCUUUUUGCUUCUGUAAGCUUCACCAUUGCAGCUGGAAGAAAUCGAUAAAGCUUAACAUCUUGAUUUUAACCGCUAGUUAGUUUGGUUUUUGUCGCUGUGAUUCUGUGAUAAACUCAGCAUGUUAGCGGCUAAAUGUAAAUAUCACUGUUUGGUAUUAUCUGUUUAGUUAAGUGAUAUCCUUUACUCAAUUGUGAUUAUCGAGUGCCUAGUUCCGCAUCCUCACUAAGAGUGAAUAGCAUAAGUUAAACAUGUAUCAAUUGCAUAAGUCUGUUCGAUCAAUUCCUGAUGCAUUGGUUUGGAUUUUCAUUAGUUCAUGUAGUCUAAAUCCAAGGCUCUUGACCUUCCCAGAUAAUUCUUAGAAUUCGAGGUUUGCCAUUUAGGAAAAUUCCAUGGCCCUCACAAAGUUGCAAACGCGUAGUUGCUUUAGGCGAGUUGUUUUAAUAAUUUACCUUCCUAAACUCGGGUGCGUAUUUAUGUGACCCAAAUCCAAGUCUCAACGAUGUUAAAAUAUGUCAAAAACCAUGGGUGCAUUUAUGUGACGUGGUUCGAAACGUAUUUUAAUAACGUUGCAAUUUUCCUUAAAAAUAACUAAAAGCGGCUAAUAAAGUUAAAAUUGCACCAUAGGUUAAGACAUGUACUAAAAUCAGAUAAUAGACCAAUUAUAAUAGUUGAGCGACCGUGCUAGAACCACAGAACUUGAGAAUGCCUAAUACCUUCUCCCAGGUUAACAAAAUUCCUUACCCGGAUUUCUGGUUCGCGGACUGUUACAUAGAGUCAAUCUUUUCCUCGAUUCGGGAUUGGAACCGGUGACUUGGGACACCAUAAAUCUCCCAAGCGGCGACUCUGAAUCUUUAUAAUAAAUCCCGUUUCGAUUGUCCUUUAAUUGGAAAAAUUCCCUUUAUUUAUACCCUUUACGGGGUGUAGGUAAAAAGGAGGUGUGAUAGCUCUGGCGACUCUGCUGGGGAUCGAACCUAGAAUCUCUGGUUCAAGGUUCAGAAUUCGAGCUUAGAUGAAUUAUUAUAUUUGGCUUUAUUUAUUAUCUGAUUUUAUUACAUGUUUGGGCCUAAUGUGCCAAAUGUUGCUUUUAUCGCUUUGAUAUUAUCUGAACUGUAUAUAAACUGCUACGAAACCCCUCUCUUCUCUCUUCCGAGGAGUGCACGCUGGUCGUGACUUCUUUCUGUUAGUGUCAAAUCCCAAAUAGAAUGAGGCUCAGACAAGUUGCAAAACCGGAUGAUCCUUUGGUUGCCGAUACGCAGUCCCCUCCUCGGCUCGAGUUGUCCGCUCGGGUAAGCCAGGUCUAGAACAAAUAAACCCAGGGUUUUAAACCUAGUAUAACAAUACCUCAUGCCGGAUCCCUAGUAGGAACAUUUGUUUGCAGCAUGUGCAUAUUUGACUUUGGAGACUCAACACAGGGGUUGGCUCUAUCUAGGAC
RNAcentral lists this long non-coding RNA (42723 nucleotides) under Nicotiana tabacum (common tobacco). Its description in RNAcentral is "long non-coding RNA (NTAB_LNC007132)". The stretch from base 39132 to 39202 matches the Rfam family "MIR6151 microRNA precursor family". Lineage: Eukaryota; Viridiplantae; Streptophyta; Magnoliopsida; Solanales; Solanaceae. The record is from RNAcentral.